UUUUUUUUUGGUGUGGAAAUUACAUCAAAUAGAUUUUUUUAAGUUUCAAUUUCAAAAUUCAAAUUUAAAGUAUUUGUAUGCAAAAAUCAGAUAAUAAUUUAAAUUUUAAAUAUUAAUAAUAAUAUUAUAAUAUAAAAUAAAUCUGCAAACUCACCACCCACCAAAACACUCACCCCACCCAAUUUAAAUUAAUCUACACACCCAUUCUACCCCACACCUAGCCUACCUCAUCCACCCCAAACAUUGAAUCAUUUUUCACUUUCUAUCAUUUUCCUUCUCUCUUCUAUAUACUACCUCUUCUCAAGCAACACAUCAACUCCUACGAGCUACGACAUGGCACCUUCAGUAACGCUACACGGCGUUGAGCAAGCGACACUGUACUCAUUGCUCUGUGCCACUGCACGCAAUGUUGAUGUGUGGCAUCGAAGGGACAGACAUCGCAUCACGCAAUCGCUGCGCCUCUACGUGCGGAUGCGCAGUGCCCAUGAAGAGCGCUUCUACGGGCGGAGUUGAGUCACGAUGCAAUGGUUUUGGAUUUGGGUUUAGAUUCUCUAGCAUUGCAUUUGCCUGGCUUCUACAGCUAGAUCACAAUGUUGGUUUUCGGUGGCUUGUAGUGGCUUUGCAUUUUCCUGGCUUGUGAACUUUUUCUCUGGUGGUUUCUUGUGAUGAUUUUGCAGCAUGUGUUUUGCGUUGCUUCUUCAUAAGGAUGGCAAAUAGGCUCGAGGGCUCAGGCUGCUUAUGGCCUAGCCCGCAAAAAGCUCGAGGCUCGGUGAGGCAAAAAGCCAGAAACCGAGCCCCAUCUUGGGGUGCCAGGUCAAGCACCAGCUUGACGAAAAAAAAAAUAUGAGGUGCUUCUAAACAAAAUUUUAAAAAUAAUAAGCUAGAAAUUCUAAACACAAAUAAGAAUUCUAUUUUCUUUUUAUUUGGGACUAGGUUCUUUAGAAAGAAUCCUAGGUGAAAACAAGAGAAAUUGUAUAAAAGGAAUAGUUAGAGCCUCUAGCUUCCAAAGAUAAAGGUACAUGAACAGUCAUUUGAUCCCCAUCAAAAUCUGCACAAUGAGAUCCACCUAUACAGUAACGGUAUUUGAUUAGGAAAGUUAGCUGAGUUAUCUUUUUCUCAAAAAUGUCUGUCAUUUGAUCCAAUAGCGUUUCUACUGAAUAUUCAUAUGGUGAAGGCAUAGUCUUUUUUUUUCCUCUCAGCUGGCAGCUUGCCUUCAUGGGAAGGAAAAAAAAAAUCCAAGCCCAAAGCUCGGCUCGAGCAAAAAAAAAAAAAAAAAAAACAAUCUUAAAAAAGUUCGAGCCAAGCCCAAGGCUCGAUUUUCAACUUGCGAACCAGCUCAGCUCAUUGACACCCCUAAUUCUUGGGAUGGUGGUUUAUAGGCGGUGGCAGUGUGAGACAAUGUUGUUGGCGACUUGUUUGUGGAUAUUUUGGUAUGGGUGGUGAUGGUUGUGUGGUGUGGUGUGAUGGGUGUAAUGGAGAUAGAUGAGGUGGUGGUGGUGCAAGCCAUAGUUACCAUGGUGUUGGCAGUAGGUGCGGCUGUUGUUGGGUUUGUGUUCAAUUAUUUGGGUAUUGUGAUUAAUGAAUUGUAAAUUUGUGACCAAUUAUUAAUAUGUGACCUAGAAAAAUAUAUGAUUCUGACUAAAUUUGUAAUUGUGGUUCAAAAAUUGGUAAAUUGUGAUCAAUUAUUGAUAGCUUAUGACGUAUAAAAUUUGUAAUUUGUGAUCGUAAAAUAAGUUGUAGCCUAUAAAAUGUGAUUUAUAAUCGAUAAAAUAAUUGUAACCUAUUAAACUUUUUAUUUGUCAUCGAAAAUAAUUUGUGAUCAAUUAAUUUGAUAAUUUGUGAUCAAAUUAUAUAAAAUUAUGAACUUAAUAUAAUUAAUUAAUAAAAUAUAUUUUUAAUUAUUUAUUUCAUAUAUAAAAUAUAAUAGUAUCUGAUUUUUGAAAUUUUAAACAUUGUUUCUUAAUUUUGAAAUAGAUCAUAGUUAAUCUCUUAUAUAUAAAAUUUUCCCAUAAAUUAUUUGGGUUUACUAAUAAGGAAAAACUUUCAUAAAAUUGAUACUUUGUGAUAAAUCUAACAAAUUAGGUUCUAAUGAACUGUACAAUUACUAUAAAUUAUUGACUUACAAAUAAAUUAUUGUAAAAAUGUCUAGAAUUACAUUAGAAUCAGCUUUCCACGUUCAUACAGAUGUUCCUUUCUCAACUCAAGAAGUUUCACACAGCUGCAACUUCACCUCAAACAACUCUGCUUUACAGUCGAUCCGUGAAUGCUACUUCAAUAUUAUCUUUAAAUCAAAAUGCCGCUACCCAAUUCAACCCAGCAGAUUACAGUUACACUUAUGCAGAUGAAAAAGAAACUAAGAACUAUGCUAGCGAGCUGAGCAACUGCGUCAAGACAUCAAACGUAGGCAGGGCUAGAGCAAUCCACGCAAGACUCUUCAAAACUUCAUGGUUUGUGUUAGAUUCUUUGUAUCUUCACAACCAUUUAAUAAAUGCGUAUGUGAAAUGCGGUGACAUUACGGAUGGUCUCCAAUUGUUCAACAAAAUGCCCCAGAAGAAUGUUGUAUCUUGGACGGCCCUCAUUGCGGGCUUUGUGCAGAAGGGUUUUCCAAUUGAAGCAUUUUCUCUAUUUUCCCAAAUGCAUAGAAGUGGAAUUAGGCCUAAUGAGUUCAGUUUUGUGAGUGCACUCCACACAUGCUCAUUUUCGGAAAAUUUAACCUUAUUACACGCCUAUCAAGUUUAUGCGAUGAUUAUAAGGCUUGGAUUUGAGAAUAAUGUAUUCUUAAUGAAUGCAUUUUUGACUGCUUUAAUAAGUCAUUGUAUGCUAGAAGAAGCUAUGGAGGUGUUUGAAGGAUGUUUUCAGAGAGAUAUUGUAUCUUGGAAUGCUAUAUUCAGUGGCUGCUUGAAGUUUUCUUGUGAAGAUAUCCCAGGGUUUUGGUGUAGGAUGAUUACUGAAGGAGUGGUACCAGAUGAGUUUACUUACUCUACUGUGAUUACAGGGAUGGCUGAGCUUUCAAAUCUUGAAAUCGGAUUGCAAGUUCAUGCACGACUUGUAAAGUCUGGUCAUGGAAGUGAUAUGUGUGUGGGGAAUUCAUUGGUGGAUAUGUACUUGAAAAGUCAGAGGAUGUGUGAUGGUUUGAAAGCCUUUGAGGAGAUUACUGUGAAGGAUGUGUGCUCCUGGAGUCAGAUGGCAGCUGGAUGUUUGAAUUGUGGGGAGCCCCUUGAGGGGCUUAGGGUGAUUGAGAAAAUGAGAAAGGAUGGUGUGAAGCCUAAUAAGUUUACUCUUGCGACGGGGCUUAAUGCAUGUGCCAAUUUGGCUUCUUUGGAGGAAGGGCAGAAAAUUCACACCUUGAGAAUUAAACUUGGGGAUGAUGCUGAUGUAUGCGUGGAUAAUGCAUUGCUUGACAUGUACGCAAAAUGUGGAUACAUGCAUGGUGCAUCAAAGGUUUUCAAAUCAAUGAAUGAUUGCUCUGUUGUUUCUUGGACGACAAUGAUAAUGGGGUAUGCACAGAAUGGCCAUGCGAAAGAAGCUCUUGAGAUCUUCGAAGAAAUGAGGCAAGGAGAAGUGAAUCCUAAUUAUAUUACUCUCAUAUGUGUGUUAUAUGCAUGUAGCCAAGGAGGUUUUAUUGACAAAGGUUUGGAGUAUUUCUCUUCUAUGAGCCAAGAAUAUGGCAUUGCUCCUGGAGAAGAUCAUUAUGCUUGUAUGGUGAAUCUCCUAGGACGGGCAGGCCGUAUCAAAGAAGCUGAGGAAUUAAUCCUAGAAAUGCCAUGCGAACCAGGCGUUGUUAUUUGGCAAACCUUGCUUGGUGCUUGUCGACUUCAUGGGGAUAUGGAUACAGCAAAACGUGCUGCAGAGCAUGCAUUAGCACUUGACAAAAAUGAUCCUUCAACUUAUGUGUUGUUGUCCAAUACAUUUGCCGGUUUUGGAGAUUGGAACAGUUCAGAUAUUUUGGGACAAGUAAGAAAGAUGAGGGAUGUGAAGAAGAAACCUGGGUCGAGCUGGCUUGAAUUGAACAGCUCAUCCACUACCUAUUGCCUGGGGUCGCUGACAUUGGAGGGUCGUGCAUACAGUCAACAAACCUUUCUUUGACGUAUCAGUUUGUUGGAAAUUUUGUGGGUUUGUCUUCAGUAUCGUGGAGUAAAGCUUCAUGCACGAGUAUGAAGAUUCAAAGUAAAGGAUUUCUAGAGUCAAGCAUGGGAUAAUUAUUAUUCAUGAUGUACAUCUUGUUGUCAUUAACUCAAUUGCUAGUCUCUUUGGAAAUGAGUUGCAGCAGGUCGUGACACCUCACCUGGGUCAUGGAGGGUCGAUCUCUACAUGACGUCUCAAUUAAGGAGAUGGCAUCACUUUUGCUACCUCGAUUUGGUGGCCUCAGUUAGGCCAAGCAGAUCAGUGACAUGGAGUGCAAGCCUGAGAUGGCUGCCACGUGGUUGGUGAUCAGAGUCUCAUCGGCGUAACGUGUAAUUUUUACUAUGUUUCUUGAUUUUUAUUUUUGGGACCCGUAAAAAAAUGUUACUACCAAUUUGUUAUACUGAUUCUGAAAUGACCAAACGAUGAUUGUCAUUUUGAUACUCUUAUAUUAAUCUGAAUCUAAAACUUUUAGUUAGUUGCGGUAAAUGAGGGAGGGACCUCUACUUUGCACACCAAGAUAUCCAGGUUCUUGAUUACCAGAUCCUCCUGUUAUCUUACGGCACUGCUACCUGUAAUGCAUUUAGAAGGAUCGUCAAAAUGUGUACAGAGAAUUACGUUACACACUUUGAGGACGAAGUUCAAUGAUGGAAUUAUGGGUUGGCAAGUUCCAUCAUUGAAAGCCAAAGGAUAUAUCCAAGGAAGUGUUGUGUGCCAAUGGUUAUGGAACUUGCCAUUUCCUGAAUAUAUCGGAUAGGAAACUUGGAAUUUUUUUCUCUAAUUCUUUUAGAGUUAUACAAGUUGUCAAUUCGACGCAAAUUAAUCCUAUAGGACCUACAUUUGAAGUCCAUCCUCGGAGAUUAUUACCUGUAUGUAAUUAACAUCGACAAGGAGCAGCUGUCGCAGUGUGCUUUACCAAGCCGACGAAAAAGAAACCAACAGCUAUGUUCGACUUCGCCAGUCGUCUGCACAUAACUCCUUAAAUAAAAUGAAUUAGAAAUGGACUCAAAGCUCAAUCAAACAUAAUCUAACUCAUUAAAGGGUAAAUGAUACUAAAAUUAACUGCUCGGCAGCCAUUUGUGCAGUAUAAGCAGGAAAAAAUAAUAUCUUGGUUGACAAAAUACAAUCCCAAUUUUAGUCCACAAGGUCCUACAGUAACAACAUUGAAAUUUGAAACUACUGGUGGCACGGCUGGAGUGCUAGAAACAAUGAGAAUAAGCCAACUAGUUGUGCUAAAGUAAUAACUGCCUAAUGUAAAAAAUAAAAAAUGCUAAAGAAAUCGGAUCUCCUGUUGCCUUCAACUGAUUAUUAACCUCAGUUUGAUAUCAUUUACAGCUAAAAAUAGAAAGGAUGCAACUGCAAUUUUCUAUAGAUUAGAACUAAACUGUGGUGGUAAUUAGUUUUUGACAAGGUUAAUGGUUCAUGAGGGAGUUUCAACAUUGCCUUCAUAGAAUUUCCACAAACCGUCAUCAUGCCUCUUCAAAUAAUAUUGAAUUCUGUAUGUGCUGCAAUUACAAGGCAGGAAUUGUUAGAAAAUAUCUAAAACAAAAUAUAAACAGAUAAAUAGGUUAUAUCAUAUUUUUUACAAAACAGCCAUUUUUCAUGAUAAUUAUGCUACUAAAGCUCAAAAUAUGAAGGUCAGAACCCUUCUGUUUUGUUGGUAAUGCAAGUAACAACAUUGAAAUUUGAAACUACUGGUGGCACGGCUGGAGUGCUAGAAACAAUGAGAAUAAGCCAACUAGUUGUGCUAAAGUAAUAACUACCUAAUGUAAAAAAUAAAAAAUGCUAAAGAAAUCGGAUCUCCUGUUGCCUUCAACUGAUUAUUAACCUCAGUUUGAUAUCAUUUACAGCUAAAAAUAGAAAGGAUGCAACUGCAAUUUUCUAUAGAUUAGAACUAAACUGUGGUGGUAAUUAGUUUUUGACAAGGUUAAUGGUUCAUGAGGGAGUUUCAACAUUGCCUUCAUAGAAUUUCCACAAACCGUCAUCAUGCCUCUUCAAAUAAUAUUGAAUUCUGUAUGUGCUGCAAUUACAAGGCAGGAAUUGUUAGAAAAUAUCUAAAACAAAAUAUAAACAGAUAAAUAGGUUAUAUCAUAUUUUUUACAAAACAGCCAUUUUUCAUGAUAAUUAUGCUACUAAAGCCCAAAAUAUGAAGGUCAGAACCCUUCUGUUUUGUUGGUAAUGCAAAGUAGCAAAGAGACAUAUAUUCACAAGUGUUUAAGCAUGAAAACAAUUGACAUUUAGACAGCAAAACUGGCCAAGCACCAACAAUUUCUAUGCUCAAAAUCAUUAAUUCAUU
This 6418-nucleotide long non-coding RNA is filed under the name Olea europaea (common olive). RNAcentral's name for it is "long non-coding RNA (OEUR_LNC003730)". The record is from RNAcentral. Lineage: Eukaryota; Viridiplantae; Streptophyta; Magnoliopsida; Lamiales; Oleaceae.